GGCCCGCGGGCGACUCAUCUGGUCCUUACGGGCGACCUGGUACCCGCGGGCACCGCGUUGGUGACCCCUGGUUUAGAGAUUAGAGUCCUGUUCCGGUCUUGACAGUAUUGGAGUGUUGAAAUGACAAAACGAAAACCUGGAAAACGAUGGAGAAGAACUGGUAAAGAAGUCGACUCAAAUAAACGAUCAAUGACUGCACAAUUGUCAUUCCGUCCUGCAGCCACCAUGUGAAUGUGGAGACUGAUGAGCAAUGUCUAAGAGGUAGCAGCAGGGGAACACUGCAGGAGGCAGUGCCUCCUGAAAGAGCCAAAAACACUGCUCUUCAAAUGGAACACAUCCAACCUCCAGGUGUCCAUGCAGGAUGUACCACUCUAGAACAUCAAGCCUCUCCCUACCUGCCAGCACAUGGAAAUAUUUCUACUAUUGACUCUAUCAAAGACAAUGGAAAACCAUUUUCCAGAUCAGCCCUCAUAGAUCCUCCUGAUGGCCUAACAACUGAACUACAUGUUGAUGCUGAG
This is a long non-coding RNA of Entelurus aequoreus (snake pipefish), 518 nucleotides long. RefSeq lists it as uncharacterized. The transcript has 5 exons. The record is from RefSeq and is a predicted model, not a curated record. NCBI's taxonomy places the organism in Eukaryota, Metazoa, Chordata, Actinopteri, Syngnathiformes, Syngnathidae.